RNAcentral lists this long non-coding RNA (670 nucleotides) under Coffea arabica (coffee). Its description in RNAcentral is "long non-coding RNA (CARA_LNC008380)". The record is from RNAcentral. Lineage: Eukaryota; Viridiplantae; Streptophyta; Magnoliopsida; Gentianales; Rubiaceae.
AGAAAUAAGACUUGCCUGUCACGGGUUGAACUCAAACAAGAAAAAAGUAAAACGACAUCGAGCCAAUUUCUAGCAUCAACAAAACUUGUGAUCCUGUAGAGGAGGGAGAUAUGCACUCAAAGUAAAAUAGGUAUGCACACAACAUUUGAUCCAUUUUGAGUACAAGGUUGUAGAAAAAUUUAUGUGAAACAUUAGCAUAACAUUGUAAUUGAAUUGAUGGUAUUCUUUUUGUUUUUUAUCGUUCCAUCCUUCUCUACGCCUUUCCUAUCUCCAACUGUCAGUAAUUUAUUUAUGAAAGGUAGGCAGAGAGAACUCUAAAAAUCGUCACAUAUUAUGUGUCGAAAUAGGACUGUUUUUAUCUAUUAAACUGAGAUUUUCAUCUAAUCAUUAUUUAGCAUUAGUUGUAUUGUUAUUCUUUUCUUCUUGACUUUGACCAGAUCUUGAAUUGAGGGACUGCAAUGUAAAUCAGCAGAUUCAUAUCCCGUUUAUUGACUGCAAGCAACAUAAAAAUCAAAAUAUCAUGUAGAUUCCUAACGUUUAGUUGAACUAAUGUUCUAAAUGUUAAACAAACACCAAACAUGCCAAAAAAAAAAACUCAAGGAAAAAAAGAAACACUUCUUUUUUAAAUCAAGAAACAAUUCCUUCAUUUUUUUUUUGUUUUUUGGUAAUU